GACCAGGAGGCAGGGAGCAAGGAAGGAACUGGAGUGGGCUAUAAUUGUCAAAGGCCCACCCCACUUCUGCCAGGUAGGCCCCACUUCCUAAAGACCCCUUAGAUAUCACUGCCACUGAGAAACAAGCACCCAAAACACGAGCUUGUGGGGACAUUUCUGAUUCAAACCAUAAGACUUAGUGAGCUUGCUAAAAAUACAGAAUUUAGGGCUGGAGAGGUGUCUUCGUCAGCAGAGUGUUUGCCUUGCGAGUAUGGGACCUGAGCUUGAUCCUCAGAACUCGUAUAAAGAAGAAGAAGGAGAAGGACAAAGAGAGUGGGGCGGGGGGGAGAGACACAGCGGCACACACUUGUAAUCCUACUGCCGAGGAGAUGGAGACAGGUGGGGUACUGCGGCUUGCUGGCCAGCCAGCCUGGCUUAGUUGGUAAGUACUAGGCCAGUGAGAGACUCUGCCUCAACAAACAAGGUGGGGGCUGGGAAGAUGGCUCAGUGGGGAGAGUGCUUCCCUUGAAAGUAUAAGGACCUGAGUUCGAAUCCCCAGCACUCCUGUAAAUGCUGGGCAUGGCUAUUUGUGCCUGUAACCUGGCACUGGAGCAGGGAGAGGGUGCACAAACAGGGGUGUGUCACCAGCACUCAUUGACCACCACCAAGUCUAGCCCCAAAUCCACAAGUUCCAGGUUUGGUGAGAGACCUUGUCUCAAGGGAAUAAGAUGGGGAAUGACAGAAGGUACCUGGCAUCCUCCUCUAGACUCUACAUGGGCAUGUGUACUGGACAGGUAUGCAUAUGACCCCCCACACACUACACACACCACACACACACUAAAUAAAUAAAUAAAUAAAUAAAUAAAUAAAUAAAGCAAGGUAGAUGGAUCCUUAGGAAGCACUUAAUUUGACUUCUGGUCUCCACACACUUAUGCAUGCAUGUGCACACAUUGGCAUACACAUGCACACAUAUGCACCAACACAUAAGCACCCAUACAAAGCAAAACAACACCACCAACAACAACAAAAACCACCCCACAGAAAUACAGUUCUGCCUGUGCAUCUCACAUUUAUAACUUAAUCUAAUGUAAAAAUUUCUCUUCAUUUUUGGGCACUUGCUUCAAUCACUUAUAUGAGCAUGCAUUAUUCAUAUUAUCCACAUGAUUUUUUUUUUCUAAAAACGCUUUUGGCAGCCAGCCUCCUAACUCUGACUUAUAACUCAUAGGUGGGCAUCUGCCAGGAGGAGGGCAUACUGCAAGAGCUGAAGGAAUGUUCAGACUCUCAAAGACACAGUUGGAUAUCCCACACCCGGAAAUUGAGCAAGAGGGGACCUGUCCUAGUAAUCUACAUAAUUUUGAAUGAUGAGGAAAUGGAAGUUCCAGGAGGAUGGGGGCUGUGCACAGGGCUAUGGAGGAGGCUCAAGACUGAUAAGGAAGAGAGUCACCGGGGUUCUCCUGAAACACUAAUGGACAAUGGACGCUUUCAUUGCAACCUGACACAGUUUUAAGAUGGAGGAAAUUUGCCUUAUGAUGCAGGGCACCAUGUGAUCGAAUGUGAGCACCGUGCCCACCACGUGAUCCUCCCAGGACACAGGAAGUAGAACCAGGGGUCUUAUGGUCCAGUGUUUCAUCUUGGCUUGCCUCUGUCUCAUUCUUCUCCUCCUUGAAUUUGCCUUCAGAGCAGUGGGCAGUGGCUGUCCUCAGUCCCAGAUAAAUGCUGUCUCCAUGAGAAGACCAGCCCAGUUAGAAACAGGACGGCCCAAAGGAGAAUCUUAUUGGUCCCAUUUGGGCCCUGUAUCUAGUUGUGGGCCAAUCAGCGUUGGCCAAUGAUCUAGGGUCUUGGGGCUUGUUUGUUCCUAUAGGUAGGGCAGGUCAUAAGGGACUGAGUGGCCAUGUCCUCCCUGGGGACUCAACAAGAAAUGAGAAUUUCAAGAAAGAGUGAAGUGGUGUCCAGAGAAGAAUUUCCUGAGGAAGAUAAAGCUUUUUCUUUUCCUAACCCUUGUCCUUUCUGCAUUCAAUUUGUAAUUGCCAACAUACUUGUGUGGUACGGAAUGUUUUUAGAAAGAUCAACAAAUGUUACCUUGAAAACCAAUAAAAAACAGAAAAAUAAAAAUCAA
Long non-coding RNA from Peromyscus californicus insignis, 2095 nucleotides. RefSeq lists it as uncharacterized. Lineage: Eukaryota; Metazoa; Chordata; Mammalia; Rodentia; Cricetidae. The transcript is spliced from 2 exons. The record is from RefSeq and is a predicted model, not a curated record.